Molecule: ribosomal RNA, 301 nt
Filed under: uncultured bacterium
Lineage: Bacteria
Description: partial 16S ribosomal RNA
Rfam family: Bacterial small subunit ribosomal RNA
Source: RNAcentral
CAGUCGCCACGGUAAUACGAAGGGGGCUAGCGUUGCUCGGAAUCACUGGGCGUAAAGGGUGCGUAGGCGGGUCUUUAAGUCAGGGGUGAAAUCCUGGAGCUCAACUCCAGAACUGCCUUUGAUACUGAAGAUCUUGGGUUCGGGAGAGGUGAGUGGAACUGCGAGUGUAGAGGUGAAAUUCGUAGAUAUUCGGAGGAACACCAGUGGCGAAGGCGGCUCACUGAUCCAUUACUGACGCUGAGGUGCGAAAGCGUGGGGAGCAAACAGGAUUAGAUACCCCCGUAGUCCCUGUCUCUUAUAC